RNAcentral lists this ribosomal RNA (454 nucleotides) under uncultured Porphyromonadaceae bacterium. RNAcentral's name for it is "partial 16S ribosomal RNA". It matches the Rfam family "Bacterial small subunit ribosomal RNA", at positions 341 to 792 of the family's 1533-position model. Lineage: Bacteria; Pseudomonadati; Bacteroidota; Bacteroidia; Bacteroidales; Porphyromonadaceae. The record is from RNAcentral.
ACGGGAGGCAGCAGUGAGGAAUAUUGGUCAAUGGGCGGAAGCCUGAACCAGCCAAGUCGCGUGAAGGAAGACGGUUCUAUGGAUUGUAAACUUCUUUUGUUCGAGGGUAAAGUGAGAGAUGCGUCUCUUAUUGCAAGUAUCGGACGAAUAAGCAUCGGCUAACUCCGUGCCAGCAGCCGCGGUAAUACGGAGGAUGCGAGCGUUAUCCGGAUUUAUUGGGUUUAAAGGGUGCGUAGGCGGCCCCUUAAGUCGGCGGUGAAAUUUCCGGGCUCAACCCGGUCACUGCCGUCGAAACUGGGGGGCUUGAGUGCGUUUGGGGUGGCUGGAAUGUGCGGUGUAGCGGUGAAAUGCAUAGAUAUCGCACAGAACGCCGAUCGCGGAGGCAGGUCACCAAGCCGCAACUGACGCUGAGGCACGAAAGCGCGGGGAUCGAACAGGAUUAGAUACCCUGGUA